RNAcentral lists this ribosomal RNA (242 nucleotides) under uncultured Leptolinea sp. Its description in RNAcentral is "partial 16S ribosomal RNA". It matches the Rfam family "Bacterial small subunit ribosomal RNA", at positions 1140 to 1382 of the family's 1533-position model. The record is from RNAcentral. Lineage: Bacteria; Bacillati; Chloroflexota; Anaerolineae; Anaerolineales; Anaerolineaceae.
GACACGGGACUGCCGGUCUUAAGCCGGAGGAAGGUGGGGAUGAUGUCAAGUCAGCAUGGCCUUUAUAUCCUGGGCUACACACACGCUACAAUGGCCAACACAAUAGGUUGCUAAGCCGCGAGGUGGCGCCAAUCCAUAAAGUUGGUCUCAGUUCAGAUUGUAGGCUGCAACCCGCCUGCAUGAAGAUGGAGUUGCUAGUAAUCGCGGAUCAGCAUGCCGCGGUGAAUACGUUCCCGGGCCUU